Molecule: ribosomal RNA, 253 nt
Filed under: uncultured bacterium
Lineage: Bacteria
Description: partial 16S ribosomal RNA
Rfam family: Bacterial small subunit ribosomal RNA
Source: RNAcentral
UACGUAGGGUGCGAGUGUUGUCCGGAAUUAUUGGGCGUAAAGGGCUCGUAGGCGGUUUGUCGCGUCGGGAGUGAAAACCUCGGGCUUAACUCGGGGCUUGCUUUCGAUACGGGCAGACUGGAGGUAUGCAGGGGAGAACGGAAUUCCUGGUGUAGCGGUGAAAUGCGCAGAUAUCGGGAAGAACACCCGUGGCGAAGGCGGCUCUCUGGGACGGUACUGACGCUGAGACGCGAAAGCGUGGGGAGCGAACAGG